This is a non-coding RNA of Sus scrofa (pig), 6839 nucleotides long. NCBI's taxonomy places the organism in Eukaryota, Metazoa, Chordata, Mammalia, Artiodactyla, Suidae. The record is from RefSeq and is a predicted model, not a curated record.
UGGCAGCGCAGGCGGCUCUGCUCUGGCCCAAAGCGCAGCGGAAGCCAGGAGGGAUGCAGGCGGCGGAGACCUUGGCCAGUGGAGGAUGCGGAGGUGGAAGUGGAGCGGCUGGCGCUCCCCAGGAGCUCCGCAACGCGAGUGGUGCUGUUCACAUUUUUUAGCAAACGGUUGAAGGGACUUUGACUCCCUCCCUACACCACCCGCAACAACGAAAGAAAGAAAAAGAAAUGGGGACACAACCUAAAGGCCAGAACUUGCCGUGAAAAAUAGGAUUAUCUAAGAGAUGAAAUGACUGAUUCAGAGUUCAAUCCAAGUAAAGGAUUUUUGCUUCCUCCUUUUGAGGCACGGAACUUGGAGUGGAACACAAAAAGUGAGAGACUUUACAAGUUGGGGUCACAAGCAUUUGUGGAAUGGAGGGAGGGGUGAGGAGCAAUUGAUUUUGGCAAAGUGAUAAGGUUUUAUCAGAACUUUUUUUUUAGAUUUUUUCAAGUAAAUGAAAAUAUCGGUUUUUUCCUAAGGGUUUUAGCACUUCGGAGGUCAUCCACCUUCUUUGCUUAUUGAACUUUACUCUUCUGCUUCGGGUAACUGAAGUAUUAACAUUAUUUGAGUUUCAGGAUACUGAUCAUUUGAGAACUUGAUAAUGAAUCUAAAAAUCAAGUAAAAAUUUAUUUGAUGUAAGUAAUGCAGCUUUUAAUGUGCUGUUGCUGGCUAGGCUUUUAAAUCAGUAUGCAAACGGAAGUUUAUUCAAUUUUAAUUAAAACAUAAUAUCGUCAGCCUUCAAAAAAUGAAACUCAAAAAAAAUUUUUCUGAAUUUUCUUUCCAAAAGGAUAAGGAAGAAUAUGUUAAUUACAUUUAAAGACAAAAGGCUCCAUUUGUUCUUUUGCUUACUUCUUUGCUAGAUAUUGUCACACUAUUGCCAAUCAGCCUAAAAUUUCUCCUUGCCAUAGGGUAUUCAUAAAUUCCACUUUCAAUAAGUCAUGCAUAGUAGUAAAACAUUUAGUGGCAAAAUGGGGAUAGUAUUUGUUGUGUACCAAAGUGGGAUUUAUAAAUCCCAUCUCCAUGCCUAAGAAUUAAGCUUUGACCCUGGACUUGAGGCCUUAGUUGCAUCCUCACCACUCCCAACAGUAGCCAUUGAUGUUUAUUGCCAUUCUGAUUAAUUUAAAUGUAGAAGAGAUUUCAACAUGAAUAACUAUUGCUUGUUAGUAUUAUUUGCUUAAAGUUUUAAACCGUGUGCCCCUUACAAAUUGAACUCUUAUUAUGACUUCAGAAUCUGCUUUGGAAUGCCUGUCAGUCAACUUAUGCUCUGAUUGCAGUAGUUUUCAAUCAGAUAGGUAAGCACUUGGCAGCAUUUGUUUUUGGGUUUUUUUUUUAAUUUUAUGUCCAACUUCCAGGCCUCUCACUCUUCAAUGGCUGUGGAUAGCUUUGGAAUUCUGCCUGAGUUUCCUGGCUGAUCACAUGGACAGCCAAAUCUUGCUAGUCAGACUGAUCAGGAGAAGGUAUAGCCUUUUCUAAAAUUAUCUUAUUGGAGAUUUGUGCAUCCAUUUGAUGCUAAUGCAGGUGGAUCUAGUGUUGACUUUGGCAUCCAACACUAAUGGUACUUCCACUGCAUCAUUCUGAAGGUAAUCUAAUGGGGCCUUUCAUUUCUCUGGGCAAGUGGUAACCCAACUAUCAGGUUUUCAGCUUCUGCUCAAAGCACUGCCAGUUUGAAAACUGAUUUUCUAUCCACUUGCACAGCUCCGGGACUGCAGGGGCCUAGGCGGUAACCCAGAGAAACAGUGUGAUUGUGGGGGGAGAAGGUGGAAGGCGGGAAAGACCAGCAAAAUAAUCAUUAAAACUAAGGCUGGGCUCAUGCACUGAAAAUCAACCUAAUCCCUUAUUUUUUGACCCAUGCGCUGCUGCUGCUGCUGCCGCCGCCGCCGACUUAACUACAAGUGGUCUGCAAAGGAGAACAUGUGCAUCAAACAUUAUGGACAGACUGAAUGAAUGUUGUUCCUGCAACUCGUAGCAAGUGUUCAUAUGCAUGUAGAUGCCAUGAUGAUUCCUUUUUAAACAUUCAUUUCAAAGAAAAGUCAUUGUAACUUUUUGUUCUAGUGUGUAUUCUCAUACAGGAGAUGCAAAGCAUACAAAUACAUCAUGUGAGUCUUUUCCUAAAAGGGUCCUCACUUUGGAAAGACAUGCAACCAGUGGUUGUCAAGUCUGCACCCACCCCACCACCACGCCCCCACCCCUACACCUCUAGGGCAGGACCCACAAUAGUCUUGGCCUCUGACACCAGCCCAGUGUCCUUCCCCAGUGUUACUCAAGAUGGUCUUCCACUCUUCCUCUUUCUCUCCCAGUCUCCAGGACAAGCUAGGAUUGUCCUUUGUCCCUUAAGAAGUAUCCCUUAUGUUUGCAAGUUUCUCUCCAAUUAGCUUUAGUGUGUUAAAGCUGACCUUCCCUGCGUUAAUAGGCCUUUUAGAGUUACGGACUAUUCUAAAUGAAACAAAAGAUGGUCUAUGCAACUCUCUCAUUUUAUAGGAACACUGAGGCUUAAAGAUGUAUGCAAGGCUACCAGCUGGCAAGUGGAGAAUGCUAGAUGGACUCAGGCUGCCUUACUCCCACUUUCACUGGGCUCUUUACAUUAUUCUCGAGACUCCCCCUGCCCCAUUUUUUGGUCAUUCAUGUGGCAUUCGGAAGUUCCCCGGCCAGGGAUCGAACCCGAGCCACAGCAGCAACCCGAGCCACAGUAGUGACAACACCAGGUCCUUAACCCACUGAGCCACCAGAGAACUCCUAGGGAGUCCCUUUUAACUUUAGAAAAAUUCGCCUAUGUGGAAUAAGGAAGUUUAAAAAAAAAAAAAGAAAAUGUAAUGAUACUGGAGAUUUGUCCACUCUCUCAGGUAUUUUGUUCUUAGAAAUGUGUGUGAAGUUAGAGACGUAGCUCUUCUGUUUCCUUUCACAAUCUCCAUUCCCAGUUGCCUUUCUCAGUGUGAUCAUCUCACUCUCACCAUAUUUAGUAUGAUUCUGGUGUUUCUCUAUCCACAUCUUUGAUAUAAAAAGACAGCCAUUCAUGGGGUCCUCACCCAGAGAAGAUCUGUUCCAAUACUAGAAAAAAACCUUGGCUUUUUAUUUUUCUAUUUUUUGGCUGGGCCUGAGGCAUGUAGAAAUUCCUGGGCUGGGGAUCGAACCCAAGCCACAGCAGUGACAACGCCAGAUCCUUAACCUACGGAACCAUUAGGGAAAUCCCCAAACCUGGCUUUUUAAAGUCUACCCUGGCUUAAAGGUUCUUUCUUUCCUUCCUUCCUCCCUCACUUUCUCUCCCUCCCUUCCUUCCUUUCUUCCUCUUUCUGUCUUCCGUAUUUGAAAACCAAACUCUAAAAGUUUUUAAUGGAAAAUAUAACCAGAUUUGUAACUCGAAGUACACAUGGUCAAGGCGGUUGGUGAGUUAUACAUUUGCAUGACAAGGGAAAUAAUUCACAAGGAGCCCCUGUAUUGUGGAAAAAAAAAAAAACAAAAAAACCCGCAACAAUCACCCACCACCACCACCAUCACCAAAAUAAAAAAAUCCUCUCUGGAAGGUAGAAGGAUAUAAUAAAUAGGUUAUGGAUUCAAAUUCAGGUAGACUUAGCUCUGUGAAAUCGGGUGAGUUUCUGGACAUUUCUAAGGCUCCUCUUGCUUAUUUCCAAAAUGUGGAUAGUAUACUAGAAUUUUUUAGGAAAGCCUGAUGUAAACACAAAGGGACACAAUAGGAGCUUAGCUUUUUAUCUAUACGUGCAUUAAAUAUACUUAUUUCUAUUGAGGUUUUGGAACAGAGUUGCCCAGGAAUCUCAGUGAAUGCUCUUCUCACCUCUAGUUCUGUCUGCAAUUAAAAAAAAAAAAAAAAAAAAAAAAGGCAAGGCUUUUAAUCAGUUUUAUUUGGGAAGCUCACAUUUUAUAGAACACACAAUAUCUAAUGUAGGUAAUAAUGGCUCAGUAAAUAAUCCACAGACUGACAAAAGUAAUAAAAAAUUUGGUGACUUUAUAAGGUACAUAAAAACAAAUCUGCAAAUAUGUAAGUAUUUGUAGGAAACAGUCAAUAUUAAUGUAUUGAUUUCAUAUAGGAAAACAAAUUCAUGUUUGAAUUAUCUCAUAGGUUGUUCAUAGCAAGACCAGAACUAAAACUCAUUCUUAGAGCCUUUCUCUGCUGAACCUGGCUUUUGUCAUUUCUUGAACCACUUUCUGUUUAAUUUGUUCCCAGGAUCUAGGUUUCAUAGUUGAUUUCAUGAGUCCUGCUUAAAGAUCAGCUGAAUUUGAGAAAAUAUGAUUUGCAUGAUGUUCAAGAAAUCUAGGGAGUUCUUUUGUGAAAUAGCAUGUUAAGGAUCCAGCAUUGUCACUGCAGUGGCCUGGAUCUCUGACAUGGGUUCAAUCCCUGGCCCGGGAAGCAUGGGUGCAGUCAAAAAAGAAAAGAAAGAAAUCUACCUGCUGCCUCAGAAGUGUGAGUAUUUACGGGGCACCACUUUGGAUUGUUUAAAAGUCAGGGAGUUCCCUUCAUGGCUCAGUGGUUAAUGAAUCAAUCUAGGAACCAUGAGGCUGCGGGUUUGAUCCCUGGCCUUGCUCAGUGGGUUAAGGAUCCGGCAUUGCCAUGGGCUGUGGUGUAGGUCACAGAUGCAGCUCAGAUCUGGCGUUGCUGUGGCUCUGGCAUGAGCCGGCAGCAACAGCUCCAACUGGAUCCCUAGCCUGGGUACUCCAUGUGCCACGGGUGAGGCCCUGGAAAAGACCAAAAAAAAAAAAAAAAAAGUCAGAAGGCUUGUUUCUCAAGAUAAAUAUCUCUUCAGAAAAUAAAACAAAUCAUACUGAAGACUGUCCUAACGUUUGGUGGUGCCAAACUUUUGUCCUCACGUCCUUUUUAAAGCAAAUAUCUGCCUUUUGGAAAGUUCUGAAAUACAAUGGUCAGUGUUUAGAGGCUAGUAAAAUAUAUUUAGUAUCUGAACUUACACUGACUGUCUUCUUUCCUCUAGUGAAAAUUGAGGUGGUGAUAAAGUAUUUAUUAGACCUGGGGUACCUGUGUUCUCAUCCUAGGUGGAUGGAUGGCUGAAUCAUCUUAAACACGCCACUUAAUUUCUUUACAUGUUUUCUCAUCUAUAGGACAGAAGUAAUUCCACUUUCCUCACAAAAUACUGAAAGGACGCCACUUAAUUUCUUUACAUGUUUUCUCAUCUAUAGGACAGAAGUAAUUCCACUUUCCUCACAAAAUACUGAAAGGAAGCCAAGAAUGUCAAUAAAGCCUAUUUAGUUCUUUAGAGAGAAUUCUAGAUAAAUACCUGGAAUUCUUUAAGGCUGUGGAUUCAGCUGUCACAAGAGGAUGAUUAAUCGGUUCCAAAAGUUAAGUCACAUUUAAUGAUGUGGCAUAGCCACCAAGUGCUUAUUAAAUUUUUCUCCUUUUUUAUUUUCACUUAUCCACAAAAUUUAAAAAUAACAUACUUAUACAACAGCAACCCAGGUUCAUGCAUAGAUACUUGAGAAAAUUAGAUUGUUCUGUGCACCAUGAUCAUUCAUAGAUGAUUCAUAGUUGGUUCUUUAUAUCUCUAGAAAGAUACAAUCCUAGUUUUCCUUUAAACAGUGAAUGCAAAACAAAAAACAAAACCCAACGAUAGUCUCAUUUAUUACAGAAUUUGUAAUGUAUGUCACUGUGAUUCAUUCUUUUAUGUAGCUCAAAAGAGCCGAGUGAUUAUCACAAAUACGCAUUAUCUUUCUGGGAGGUCUAUUAUUUUGAGAAAGGUUUUUCAAAAACCCUUUUGCAGGAGAUGAGAAUAUUCUCACUUCUAAAGUUGUCAGGACAGCUGACAAAAAACAUGUAUUUGCAUUUCAAAACUGACUUUUCCAAGCCAUAUGAAAUUGCAAACUCUUCGAGCAUCCUUGGGACACCUGAGGUCUGCAGAAGAAGGAAGCAGUCUGAUCAUCUGGGCUCUGAGGGAAGGCGGGGAGAAGCAGCGGUGAGGACAAAUAGGCACAACUUGACAUCAGAAGAAGAAAAGGACUAAAAGCGCCUGAGUUUUUCAUGCAGCUCCUGGGAGACCAGAAUGUGACGAUCAUGGAGACCUUCGAUUUUAACAGAGAUCCUUUCUCUAUAACUAAUUCGACGCAUGGCUAUAUGGGUAAUUUUGAACAAGUGGAUCUUUCUCCAACCUGAAAGGCUGCCAGGAGGGAGAGCGAGGGAGAAAAAGAGGGUUUCAAAGGCGUCACAGAGAACCACAAAGUAAUCACGAAGCACCACUGUAUUGCCCCAAUCUCCUGACAGAAGUGCAUUGAGAGGUGCUGAUAUAGAACAGAAGAGGACACAUCGUUACAAUAAAAUACUCUGUAAUACCUGGGACAACAGUUGGAAAUCAUUUUGUCAUCAAACAGAGUGCCCGAAAUUGAAGAAACUGACUGUGUUUCCUGUGAGGAAUUUUUAAAGAACUAUUAUAGUUCCUGCCCACCCCCUCCCUUACUAUUUUACAGAAUUUCACAGAGCUGUGAAAUGUGAAAUACAGAAGACUAGAAAUGUGUAAUAGGAGCUGCCAUUGUAACCUUUAUAUAUCACAUUUAAUGGGGAAAAAAGCCUUUUAGCCAAAGAUUACAUUAUACAAGUGUAUAAUUAAGAUUACUUACUCUAAAUUUAGAUAUGACUAUCUUAUUGAAUCCAAAAUGUUGGAAUAAAUCAUUAAAGAGGGCACAGGCUUCCAAUCCUGUGAUGUCCUGACAAAUGGAAUACAUUUGGGGUCCUAUCAUAGCUUCGUAGUAAAUGGAGGAAAAUUUGAUUUUGCAAAUGUCAAUGGAGAUAUUUUAAUAGGACCAAUAAAAUGAAAAAUCUCAGUGAAUUAAAACGAUGUUAUUGAAAA